Molecule: ribosomal RNA, 255 nt
Filed under: uncultured bacterium
Lineage: Bacteria
Description: partial small subunit ribosomal RNA
Rfam family: Bacterial small subunit ribosomal RNA
Source: RNAcentral
AGGAUGAACGCUGGCGGCGUGCUUAACACAUGCAAGUCGAGCGGAAAGGCCCUUCGGGGUACUCGAGCGGCGAACGGGUGAGUAACACGUGAGCAACCUGCCCUUAGCUCUGGGAUAGCUCCGGGAAACCGGAAUUAAUACCGGAUAUUACACCGGCUGGCAUCGGCUGGUGUGGAAAGAUUUAUCGGCUAAGGAUGGACUCGCGGCCUAUCAGCUUGUUGGUGGGGUAGAAGCCUACCAAGGCGACGACGGGUA